GGACCCUUGGCGCAACGGUAGCGUGUGUGAUUCCAGUCCACAAGGUUAACGGUUCAAAUCCGUUAGGGUUCA
Irineochytrium annulatum is the source of this 72-nucleotide non-coding RNA. Lineage: Eukaryota; Fungi; Chytridiomycota; Chytridiomycetes; Chytridiales; Chytridiaceae. The record is from the annotation of a GenBank genome assembly.